UACGAAGGGGGCUAGCGUUGCUCGGAUUUACUGGGCGUAAAGGGCGCGUAGGCGGAUCAGCAAGUUGGGGGUGAAAGCCCGGGGCUCAACCUCGGAACUGCCCUCAAAACUGUUGAUCUAGAGUUUGGGAGAGGUGUGUGGAACUCCGAGUGUAGAGGUGAAAUUCGUAGAUAUUCGGAAGAACACCAGUGGCGAAGGCGACACACUGGCCCAAUACUGACGCUGAGGCGCGAAAGCGUGGGGAG
Molecule: ribosomal RNA, 245 nt
Filed under: uncultured Caulobacteraceae bacterium
Lineage: Bacteria; Pseudomonadati; Pseudomonadota; Alphaproteobacteria; Caulobacterales; Caulobacteraceae
Description: partial 16S ribosomal RNA
Rfam family: Bacterial small subunit ribosomal RNA
Source: RNAcentral